Molecule: ribosomal RNA, 491 nt
Filed under: uncultured bacterium
Lineage: Bacteria
Description: bacterial SSU rRNA
Rfam family: Bacterial small subunit ribosomal RNA
Source: RNAcentral
UGGGGAAUCUUGGACAAUGGGGGCAACCCUGAUCCAGCCAUGCCGCGUGAGUGAUGAAGGCCUUAGGGUCGUAAAGCUCUUUCGCCUGUGAAGAUAAUGACGGUAGCAGGUAAAGAAACCCCGGCUAACUCCGUGCCAGCAGCCGCGGUAAUACGGAGGGGGUUAGCGUUGUUCGGAAUUACUGGGCGUAAAGCGCACGUAGGCGGACCAGAAAGUUGGGGGUGAAAUCCCGGGGGCUCAACCCCGGAACUGCCUCCAAAACUAUUGGUCUAGAGUUCGAGAGAGGUGAGUGGAAUUCCAAGUGUAGAGGUGAAAUUCGUAGAUAUUUGGAGGAACACCAGUGGCGAAGGCGGCUCACUGGCUCGAUACUGACGCUGAGGUGCGAAAGUGUGGGGAGCAAACAGGAUUAGAUACCCUGGUAGUCCACGCCGUAAACGAUGAGUGCUAGUCGUCGGCAGGCAUGCCUGUCGGUGACGCAGCUAACGCAUUAA